This 497-nucleotide ribosomal RNA is filed under the name uncultured bacterium. RNAcentral describes it as "partial 16S ribosomal RNA". It matches the Rfam family "Bacterial small subunit ribosomal RNA", at positions 29 to 523 of the family's 1533-position model. The record is from RNAcentral.
AGUGAACGCUGGCGGCGUGCCUAAUACAUGCAAGUCGAACGCGAAAGUCCUUCGGGAUGAGUAAAGUGGCGCACGGGUGAGUAAUACAUGGGAACAUGCCCUUGGAUGGGGAAUAACGUUUGGAAACGAACGCUAAUACCGCAUAAUCUCGCGAGAGUAAAGGUGGCGCCGCAAGGGCUACCGUCCAAGGAUUGGCCCAUGUCCCAUUAGCUAGUUGGCGGGGUAAUGGCCCACCAAGGCAACGAUGGGUAUGUGGUCUGAGAGGAUGAUCACACACACUGGAACUGAGACACGGUCCAGACUCCUACGGGAGGCAACAGUAGGGAAUAUUGCACAAUGGGGGAAACCCUGAUGCAGCAACGCCGCGUGAGUGAAGAAGGCCCUUGGGUUGUAAAGCUCUUUAGCGUGGGAAGAAGGUAGAUACGGUGAAUAAUCGUGUUUGCUGACGGUACCACGAGAAUAAGCACCGGCUAAUUUCGUGCCAGCCGCCGCAGUAA